UGGGGAAUUUUGGACAAUGGGCGCAAGCCUGAUCCAGCCAUGCCGCGUGUGUGAAGAAGGCCUUCGGGUUGUAAAGGGCUUUUGUCAGGGAGGAAAUCGCUAGGGUUAAUACCUGGGGUGGAUGACGGUACCUGAAGAAUAAGCACCGGCUAACUACGUGCCAGCAGCCGCGGUAAUACGUAGGGUGCGAGCGUUAAUCGGAAUUACUGGGCGUAAAGCGUGCGCAGGCGGUUUUAUAAGCCAGAUGUGAAAUCCCCGGGCUCAACCUGGGAACUGCGUUUGGGACUGCAAGGCUAGAGUGCGUCAGAGGGGGAUGGAAUUCCGCGUGUAGCAGUGAAAUGCGUAGAUAUGCGGAGGAACACCGAUGGCGAAGGCAGUCCCCUGGGACUACACUGACGCUCAUGCACGAAAGCGUGGGGAGCAAACAGGAUUAGAUACCCUGGUAGUCCACGCCCUAAACGAUGUCAACUGGUUGUUGGGGGUUAAAAUCCUCGGUAACGUAGCUAACGCGUGAAAUUGACCGCCUGGGGAGUACGGCCGCAAGGUUG
This 548-nucleotide ribosomal RNA is filed under the name uncultured Pseudomonadota bacterium. RNAcentral describes it as "bacterial SSU rRNA". It matches the Rfam family "Bacterial small subunit ribosomal RNA", at positions 355 to 896 of the family's 1533-position model. The record is from RNAcentral. Lineage: Bacteria; Pseudomonadati; Pseudomonadota.